Molecule: long non-coding RNA, 5910 nt
Organism: Homarus americanus (American lobster)
Lineage: Eukaryota; Metazoa; Arthropoda; Malacostraca; Decapoda; Nephropidae
Exons: 2
Source: RefSeq, a predicted model, not a curated record
UUGAUUUUAUCUCUGGCGCAUAAAAAUUUGUUUUGUUGGUGUCAAGGUUUUUUAUACUUCAUAGCUCUCUAGCUAGAAUGCCUAAGAUCUUUAUGUCGUGAUGGCUUUUCCAUUUGGUAAUGUAGGAGCAGGGACAUGCUUGCUAGCUUGUCUUAUGUAGGUCAUAAUCUUCUGUAAUUUUAUGGUGACAACAAGCUAUUAAACAGCAAUUGCUUUGUACUUAGUGCUAGAGCAGUUCAAGAUUUACAUUGAAAGUGUAUCUGCAUAAACUAGAAUUUGUUCUUGGGGUGGUGAGUACUGUACUGUGUGAAAAAUUAAAAAUAGUGUGAAUUUACCUGGAUACCAAAAUAACCACAUCGGUUGAGUGGAUAUACUGUUUACCUGUUCCAUUGGGGUUUUGGUUUGGUCUUGAGGCACUUCCAGUUCACCCAGUUUACAACUGAGGAAGUGUAUGUGGUUGAGUGCAGUCAGGCCAUGCUGUCUGCUUGUGUACUGAAGGCUUAGUAUACAAUGUGCUGUAUCCAACACUGUCCCUAAUGGGCUGUUUUUCCUAUGGGACCCAUUUACACAUUUCACAUAGAUACAGAAAACUCUGAAUGUAAGAAGAAUUAUUAUAAAAGGGAGGGAGGAUUGUCUAGAAGUUAGUGUCGUAUUAGAAGGCAGCCAAAGAACCUAUGUAAUGAAUAAAACAUGUACUGUAUAUGGACACAAGUUUAACAUAUUUGCCAUGUAAUUUCUGUGAAUAAAAUGGGACAUGUUGGAUGAUCAUAUAAUUCAAACAAGAACAUUUUAAACGCCAUUAUGAUAUUUUGUAUGUUAGUAUUGACUUUAGAUUCACUGUUUUUCUGUUUUGAGCUUCUACAACAACAUAUAUACUACAGUACUGCAGAUGCCAUCAUACUUUGCAAAAUUUGUUUUUCAAAUGAUUAGAUAAAAAAUUGCAUAAAGCCAAGGAACCAUUAAUUCUGAUGGUAAAGUUUAAUAUUUUGGAUAAUUAUUAUGCUUUCUCAAGAAACUUAGAUGAAAAGAAAGAGACAAAGGUGCUCUUAGUUAUAUUAUUGUGUAGUGUCUAAAGAAGUAACUACAAUGCUUAUAGACAAUAUUGUAUUUUGAGGCAUAUUCCUGUACUCUAUCUCUGGUAUUAUUUUUAUUACAGUACUUUCUUAGUUUACUUCAUAGUCAUUGUGUUUCAACCCAAGUUUAAAAAAAAAGUCACGAAGGACACUGCAUUGCAGUGUGUGACAGUGAGGUUUGGCGGUAAAAUUAACUAAUUCCAAUAAAAUUAAUUUAUAAUAAUGGAAUUAGUUAAUUCUACCGCCAUGCCUCCCUGUCAAGCACUGUAGUGCAGUGUCCUUCAGGAUUUUUUUUUCUAAAACUCUAGUUGAAACAUGAUGACUCCCAUCAUUGGAAGAGGGUGAUGAAAACUAUGGCCGUAAGACUAACAAUAUGUUUAAGAGAUGCUUCUCACUGGAUAGUAAAAAUAAUCUGUAUAGACAAUAUCAUUGUGGUACAGGAGAAAUUCUGGGUUUGAUGCUCAGGUGGUUAGAGGGUCUUGCCCCAUGUGUUUAUAUAAUUAACCCUGAUAUGCCAAGUAUUGUACUGUAUUGUGAAUGAAUUACUCAUAUCGAUAAGAUGAUAAACUGAUGUACAUAAAAUUAUGUCUUGUGGGCUAGCCAUUUUGGCUGCCAAAUGUUUUGGUAUUGUGAGAUAAUUUUUCACAGAAUUUCAUGUACUACCUCCAGGAAACCCAAAAUCAGCUAUUUGGUCCCAAGUGUAGGAUUUUACUGGUUUACCUCAUAAGUGUUAAGCUAAUGGUACCAACAAAUAGCUGCUCUAGACUUGUACUAUUUCUGAUGUCUUUUUGUAGAAUAAAGACCAGGAUAGCCUAAAGAAAAAUUCAAGGUGACCAUUUUAUAGCAGAAGGGAAUGUUGGUGAAUGGAAACUUUUCUUGUUUUCCCUUACAACAAACCCUCAAACUUAAAAAAACGAGAAGAGAACUAGAAUUUUUAUAUAUUCCAAAAAGAUUGAUUCUUUGGAGGAGUGUAGAGAUAUACAUGUACAACUGUAUAAGAAUUGCUGUCAGGAGAAGUAGCCUUUUAUUAGAUUAAUAAGAUGGAGUUGUUGUCAAGAUACGUAACAGAAGGGAUGCUAUCCUUCUUACUUUUCUGGAAAUGAUCUCAGGGUUGAACCCUGUACAUGUUGCAGACACAUCUGUUUCAAUGACACAUUUGCAUCUUAUUUCUUUUUCCAGAUUUCCUAUGGGUUCUGAUGAUUUGAAAUGUUGACAGUUUUUUGUUGGUUGGUGCUAUCAUGGCUUUUACAAUAAUUGAUUUCAUUCGCUUGGAGUAUCAUGCCACGGACAACUAGAAGAUCAUAACUGUUGUGAGGAAGCUUUAAAUCUUAUAAAACUUUUUUUUUCCUGUUCGAGUAAAUCUUCAAAUACUCUGUACUGUAUUACAUUUUGAUACAUUAACAAAAAACUGAAAAGCCAAUUUAAAUAUUUUCAAUCCUUUUAUCUUGAAAUUUGUAUUUUCCAGAUUAAUUCAGUUAAUAGAUUCACUGAUAUGGACAGUUUUAUAUCAUUGUUUAUAAAAAUUUGUAUGCAUAGCACUUCAUAAUUUUUUUUUUACCAUUACUUACAACAUACUUUUAAGUAUUUCAGCAUCUUUUAGAUUUUACAUACCAGUAGUAUGUUUGUCUUUUUUUUUAUCUCAUAAAAAAUGGGAUGAUGAGUGCUAUUGUUUCAUCUAAAAAAACUGGCACAUUUGAAAAAUAAAAACCCCCAUCCAUUAUUAUUAUUAUUACUGUAUUAUUAUUAGUAAUAUAUUUAGUGAAUGACUAGUUUCGCUUCUUAUACCAUACACAAAAUUUAGGCAUUACCUUUACAAUAUGCUGAGCCUAUAUUACCUCAUCUUAACUCCACCUAUGUGGUUACUCCUUUAUGAUAGUACAUCAUUCAUGCCACUUAGUAGAAUGGCUCAUACUACAAAACAUGGGGCAUAUGUUACACAACUGUGAUUUGUGUGUCAUACAGUAGUUGUUCUUGUUACAUGCAGUAGAGUGGCUCAUGGUAGACAGCAAGUACAGUAGUUCAAUCACCACAACAAGAUGAACCAUGCUACACAGCAGUGGCUCAUAACAGAGUGAACCAUGCUACACAACAGUGUGAACCAUGCUACACAGCAGUGACUCAUAACAGAGUGAACCAUGCGAUACAGCAGUGGCUUAUAACAGAGUGAACCAUGCUACACAACAGUGUGAACCAUGCUACACAGCAGUGACUCAUAACAGAGUGAACCAUGCUACACAGCAGUGACUCAUAACAGAGUGAACCAUGCUACACAGCAGUGACUCAUAACAGAGCGAACCAUGCUACACAACAGUGUGAACCAUGCUACACAACAGAGUGAACCAUGCUACACAGCAGUUAUUCAUGCUACACAACAGCGUGAACCAUGCUACACAGCAGUGACUCAUAACAGUGAACCAUGCUACACAACAGAGUGAACCAUGCUACACAACAGUGAACGAUGCUACACAACAGAGUGACUCAUGCUACACAACAGGGUGAACAAUGCUACACAACAGUGAUUCAUAACAGAGUGAACCAUACUACACAAUAGGGUAAACCAUGCUACACAAUAGGGUGAACCAUGCUACACAGCAGGAUGAACCAUGCUACACAGGGUGAAUCAUACUACACAACAGAGUGAACCAUGCUACACAAUAGGGUGAACCGUGCUACACAUCAGAUACUCAUGCUACACAACAGGGUGAACCAUGCUACACAAAAAAAUGAACCAUGCUACACACGAUGAAUCAUGCUACACAAUAGGGUGAACCAUGCUACACAGCAGUUACUCAUGCUACGCAGAGUGAACCAUGCUACACAUCAGAUACUCAUGCUACACAACAGGGUGAACCAUGCUACACAAAAAAAUGAACCAUGCUACACACGAUGAAUCAUGCUACACAAUAGGGUGAACCAUGCUACACAGCAGUUACUCAUGCUACACAACAGAGUGAACCAUGCUACACAAUAGGGUGAACCAUGCUACACAUCAGAUACUCAUGCUACACAACAAGGUGAACCAUGCUACACAACAAAGUGAACCAUGCUACACAGGGUGAAUCAUGCUUCACAGCAGUUACUCAUGCUACACACAAGGUGAACCAUGCUGUUCAAUAAGGUGAACCAUGCUGUUCAAUAAGGUGAACCAUGCUACACAUCAGAUACUCGUGCUACACAACAGCAUGAACUAUGCCACACAACAGUGACUCGUGCUACAUAACUGGGUAAACCGUUCUACACAGCAGUGACAUGCUACACAGCAGUGAAUCUUGCUACACAGCAGUGAACCAUGCUACACAGCAGUUAUUCAUGCUGCACAACAGAUACUUACGUUACACAACAGUGAUUCGUGCUGCACAGCAGUGACUCAUAAUACACAGCAGUGACUCAUAAUACACAGCAGUGACUCAUGCUACACAAUAAGGUGAACAAUGCUACACAGCAGAGACUCGUUUUACAAGACAGGGUGAAUCAUGCUACACAGUAGUGACUCAUGCUACAGAAUAAGAUGAUUCAUGUCACAGCAGUGACUCAUGUUACACAAUACAGUAAUGUGAAUCGUGCUACACAAUACAGCAAGGUGAAUCAUGCUACACAAUAAGGUGAUUCAUGCUACUAAAAGUGAAUUAUGCUACCCAUCAUGGUGACUUAUGCUACACAAUAAGGUGAUUAACGCAACACAAUUUGGUGAAUCAAUGCUACACAACAGUGAAUCCAGUUACACAACAAAGUGAAUUGUGCUACACAACAGUGAAUCGUGCUAUACAACAGAGUGAAUCGUGCUACACAACAGGGUGACUUGUGCAAAAUUCUAUUUUCUCCAUAGAUACUGCACAAAGGCAUCAAGUUGGCAGUCAUUGCUUGCUUUAUUUUUGCAUAUGCCAUAUUCCUAGUAUACUGUGCUGUACUUAGAUACAUACAAUAAAUUAUAGAGUAUCCAUGUGUAUUGUACACAAAAAUAUCCCAGUCAAAUUUUUGCCUUAAUCUGAAGGUACAGGUAUUUGGAAGAUGUUAUAAUUAUGCAUUGUAUUUGUAUUCAGUCAAAAGAAGUGAUCCUCACUAAAUAUUACAUUCCAGUCAGGUUAUGUCUUAUGCUCAAAUCUCUGUUUGAUGAUAACGUCACUUUACUUCACAUCAUUUGUAUUUUGUUCAUUAACUUAACCCAUACUGUUGAGCAGAUUACAUGAGACAGUGCCAGGAAUAAUGGUUACUUGUAGUAUCUUUUACAAUAAAUAGCAUGUAGGAUGCUGGUUUACCAACUGUAUUGAAUGCAACUGGGUAUCUUGCCCUUUCAAACAAUUACACAGAAAUUAUUUACUAUAUUUUUUUAUCUGCUCUGCUAACGUAUAUGAACCUGGCAACUGCAGUAUGUAUUGUAUUUAAACUAUAUUUAUUGAAGCUAUAAAUAUCUGGGCAUUGCACUGCUAGCAUAGCGCUGGAAUGGCAGUUGCAGUUUUGACCACCAUUCAUUAUAACCUCAAUUAUGUAGCUAAAGCAGGCCUAGAAGAUAUAUGAGUAAAUAAGAAUACAAUAGAUUCAUAUGCACAUAAUUAACAAUUUAGAGGAAAUCCUUCGCAUUGCUCAGCACUGCCUUGUCCAGCAAUGCCAGUCAUCACUGGCUCUGCCUUAACAGAGAAACUACCUAAACACAUUUCACAAAGCCCAAAAUAGUAUUUGUCAUAAUGAAGGGUGCCACAUGAAAUUCUUUUGGAAUGAUUAUAGGUUCUUCAUGUUUGUAUAAAGCUCAGUGUAGAGGAGAGUGUAUUAUCUUGUGAAUAACUGUAGCCAGUUAUAUAAACUGUUCUCAUGUAUUUAAUUAAAUGAGUCUUAGUUUUAA